CCCCAUCCCCUGCUUCGCCGCCGCCGGAGGGGACGCGGGCUAAGCCGCGCGUACUCCAGGGAUGGUGGCGGCGGGGCUCUCACGGCUGGCGUUCUCGCGGAUCCGAGGCGGCGGCCUCUGCUCAGGCGGACGGUGGGCGUCGGUAGCAGCGUCACGCGACGGAUGCCGCUCGGUGGUCGGCGCUGAGCGCGGAUCUGGGUCGCCCUGCGCGAGGUGAGGGCGCCCGGAGCUCUGCUCGGCCUCGGGGCCGCGGUGCCGGCCUCCGUGCUCCGGUGGUCCACCUUGGGUCGCGCGGCGGCGUCCUGCCCAUGGCCUCGCCUCCUGAUGGUUCUGGGCCAGCCGCGGUUCGCGUUGGGGGUGGAUCUUGAGGCUUGGUGGUGAUGUGUUUCGCUGGACUGGCUGAAUCCGAUUGGAUCGGCCCAUGGUCGUCCGGCUUGGGGCAGAGGAGGGUGGUGGCGGCUCGCUGCUGGAAGCUAGGCUGUGUGCUGUAGGUGGGGGUGGCUGCGUGGAGGAGGGGUGGUGGGCGGUGGAGGUGCUGCAACAGCAAGGUUCGAUCCCCCCGCCUUCAGUCUGCAUUGCGGGCGCUUCGGAUCUGGCCUCCCGCAGGCGUGCGGUGGCGCGCGUGGGGCGCGUCGGCGUGCCUGAUGUAUGACUGUAGCCCGGAACCAUGGUGGUUCUUGGCCUCGGGCAUCGCCCCUCUGCUCCUUGCCUGCAUGGUGCUUGGUGGGGCACGGUGGCUCACGUUGCGUCCGGUGGCUCUGCGUCCGGCCGGCCAUUGAUGGAUCUGGCGUCGAGUGCUGAGUUUGGACGUCGGUGGUCUCCGCGAGGUGCGGCUGGCUGAGGCGGUUCGUCGUGCUUCUUCAUCGUUGGAGGGUUCGACGGCAGUGGUGGUCGGCUGCCGUCUUGCUGUAGGGAUGUGCUCAAACUCCGGGUGAGAACCCUGCAUCGGCUCUGUUGAUGCCGGCGGCAGCAGCGUCUACGGACGUCGUUUUUCUCGUAGGAGGUGCCAUCGUGGAGCUACAUCACCUACAGUUCUUUGUUUGUGGUCUCCGAGUGAAAACCCAAGAUCGGGCUUGCCGGAUCGGAUGACGGUGUUGUGUGCUCGACAACACUACCUCCUUGGAGGCGUCGUCUUGGAGACCCAAACAACGGCUUCUGUUGCUGUGUGUGGUGGUGUGUGGUGCGUUUGGUGGUGGUGGUGCGGCCUGCUCAGGACUGAGGGUGGUGUGUUCUUCUUCAGGUGUUUCUCUUCGACUGUCCUACGUGUGGUCUCCGGCCUGCUACUAUGCAUGCUCAUGACCCUGUUCUGUUGAGGCGAGCCUCGGGCUCUUGGUCUCGUCUUGGUUCACCUUUGCUCAAUGAUGACGCAAUGACGCCUCCCCGACUUGCUAAUCGUCUUGAACUUCCGUGACAGAGCGCUCAGUCAAGGUUCGUGUUAGUUUUGGCACAAGGUUCGUGUUAAGCUUUGGCACUCGUUGAUUGUGGAUGCUCCUCUGUUGUGCCGUGGGGUUUGAUACGCACGCCGGUGCGGUGCGUUAGGCUGUUUAUAGAGUCUUGGUAUUGUGAUCCCUCGACGCACCCCUCAUCUACCUGGUCCUGUUAGUAUGCUAGCUAGGUCUUGCCUUAUGUUGGGCGUCAUGUUCCUCUCCUUUCCUUAUAACACUUGUUACUUGUCUGGUUUUUGGCUUGGUUUUCCUCAUAAACGGGGUCAAUUUGUUAAGGUUUUCGAUCCGGUUUUCUUUAUAAACUGGAUCACUCUCCUAGCAUUAUGGCCACUUUGAGCAAUAUAUUCAGGUGGAGGGACUCCUCCCCCGGUGAUUCUAAAAAAAAGGGGGGGAUUAUCUUUAUAUCUUCCUAAGUGACUUGCAGCUAGCAAUGCUGGAUUGGUAUCUAUACCUUUUUUUGCAACGAGUAUGCUGCUUGCCAGCCGUUUCUACACUGGAGCACCUUCAGUCAUUUGUGCACCUACAGAUGUGUAAUCCAGAUUAUAUAUGUUUGAUAUUUUUCGACAAAACUGUAAUCUUAAUUUUAAGUGACACCAUUAGUUCAAUGGCAAAAUCUGUCCGAGCAUUUUAUAUGCCUUAGGUAUUGUGACAGGAUUAAUGUAAAUACUUUUGCCUCUCUUCAUAGCCGUCUUAAAUCACCACAUUAGUUCUCAUAAUGACCAGUAACAUCUUAUUGCAGAGGUUACAUCUUCUUCAAGUUUACUAGUGAUUGAGGCGCCAUCAUGUGGCGUCGCUUAAGAGGAAGCUGUGUCCACGUUUCCAUUUAAAGAAAAUACAUAGAGUCCUCGAGUCCUCGCCUCCUUCUAAAAAACAUGUCAAAAAAAAUAUCCUCACCUUCAUCUAAAAAAAUGUAAACAAGAAAAAAGAAAAAAAAAUACCACAACAACCUACCAGCGAGUGCCACUUUGCAUAAUCAACCAUUUAAAAAAAUACCAGAGGUCCUCAUCUUCAUCUAAAAAAAUACA
Molecule: non-coding RNA, 2470 nt
Organism: Aegilops tauschii subsp. strangulata
Lineage: Eukaryota; Viridiplantae; Streptophyta; Magnoliopsida; Poales; Poaceae
Source: RefSeq, a predicted model, not a curated record